Molecule: ribosomal RNA, 544 nt
Filed under: uncultured bacterium
Lineage: Bacteria
Description: bacterial SSU rRNA
Rfam family: Bacterial small subunit ribosomal RNA
Source: RNAcentral
AAUAGAUACCCCGGUAGUCCACGCCGUAAACGAUGAGUGCUAAGUGUUAGGGGGUUUCCGCCCCUUAGUGCUGCAGCUAACGCAUUAAGCACUCCGCCUGGGGAGUACGGUCGCAAGACUGAAACUCAAAGGAAUUGACGGGGGCCCGCACAAGCGGUGGAGCACGUGGUUUAAUUCGAAGCAACGCGAAGAACCUUACCAGAUCUUGACAUCCCGCUGACCGGUCUAGAGAUAGACUUUUCCCUUCGGGGACAGCGGUGACAGGUGGUGCAUGGUUGUCGUCAGCUCGUGUCGUGAGAUGUUGGGUUAAGUCCCGCAACGAGCGCAACCCUUGAUCUUAGUUGCCAGCAUUCAGUUGGGCACUCUAAGGUGACUGCCGGUGAUAAACCGGAGGAAGGUGGGGAUGACGUCAAAUCAUCAUGCCCCUUAUGACCUGGGCUACACACGUGCUACAAUGGACGGUACAGAGGGUCGCAACCCCGCGAGGGUGAGCUAAUCCCAUAAAAACCGUUCUCAGUUCGGAUUGUAGGCUGCAACUCGCCUA